UUGCUCACUUUAGCAGCACAUAUACUAAAAUUGGAAUGAUACAGAGAAGAUUAGCAUGGCCGCUGUGCAAGGGUGACAUGCAAGUUUGUGAAGCAUUCCAUAUAUUU
RNAcentral lists this small nuclear RNA (107 nucleotides) under Jaculus jaculus (lesser Egyptian jerboa). The record is from RNAcentral. Lineage: Eukaryota; Metazoa; Chordata; Mammalia; Rodentia; Dipodidae.